This 818-nucleotide ribosomal RNA is filed under the name uncultured bacterium. RNAcentral describes it as "bacterial SSU rRNA". It matches the Rfam family "Bacterial small subunit ribosomal RNA", at positions 8 to 835 of the family's 1533-position model. The record is from RNAcentral.
AGAGUUUGAUCCUGGCUCAGGACGAACGCUGGCGGCGUGCUUCAUACAUGCAAGUCGAACGGGAUCCAAUCAGUGGCAACACUGAGGAAGAUCUAGUGGCGAACGGGUGAGUAACACGUGAGGAACCUAUCCCGGUCUCUGGAAUAACAGGUGGAAACACCUGCUAAUACCGGAUACCGCCGACGCCCCUCCUGGGGUGUCGACGAAAGAUUUAUCGGAUCGGGCGGGCCUCGCGGCCUAUCAGCUAGUUGGUGGGGUAACGGCCUACCAAGGCAUCGACGGGUAGCUGUCCUGAGAGGAUGAUCAGCCACACUGGGACUGAGACACGGCCCAGACUCCUACGGGAGGCAGCAGUAGGGAAUCUUGCGCAAUGGGCGAAAGCCUGACGCAGCAACGCCGCGUGCGGGAAGAAGGCUCUCGGGUUGUAAACCGCUUUCAGUAGGAACGAAAAUGACGGUACCUGCAGAAGAAGGUGCGGCCAACUACGUGCCAGCAGCCGCGGUGACACGUAGGCACCAAGCGUUGUCCGGAUUUAUUGGGCGUAAAGAGCUCGUAGGCGGUUCAGUAAGUCGGGUGUGAAAACUCAGGGCUCAACCCUGAGCUGCCACCCGAUACUGCUGUGACUUGAGUCUGGUAGGGGAGUGGGGAAUUCCUGGUGUAGCGGUGAAAUGCGCAGAUAUCAGGAGGAACACCGGUGGCGAAGGCGCCACUCUGGGCCACGACUGACGCUGAGGAGCGAAAGCAUGGGUAGCAAACAGGAUUAGAUACCCUGGUAGUCCAUGCCGUAAACGUUGGGCACUAGGUGUGGGUUCCAACCA